GGGGUUGUGGCUCAGUGGUAGAGUGUUCGCCUAGCACGCGCAAGGCCCUGAGUUCCAUCCUCAGCACCACA
This 71-nucleotide transfer RNA is filed under the name Marmota monax (woodchuck). RNAcentral describes it as "tRNA.Ala". It matches the Rfam family "tRNA". From Rfam's summary of the family: Transfer RNA (tRNA) molecules are approximately 80 nucleotides in length. Their secondary structure includes four short double-helical elements and three loops (D, anti-codon, and T loops). The record is from RNAcentral. Lineage: Eukaryota; Metazoa; Chordata; Mammalia; Rodentia; Sciuridae.